GAGAGAGAGAGAGAGAGAGAGAGAGGAGAGAGAGAGAGAGAGAAGGAGAGAGAGAGAGAAGAGAGAGAGAGAGAGAAGAGAGAGAGAGAGAGAAGAGAGAGAGAGAAGAAGAGAGAGAGAGGAGAGAGAGAGAGAGAGAGAGAGAGAGAGAGAAGAAGAGAGAGAAGAGAGAGAGAGAAGAAGAGAGAGAGAGAGAGAGAAGAAGAGAGAGAGAAGAGAGAGAGAGAGAGAGAGAGAGAGAGAGAGAGAGAGAGAGAGAGAGAGAGAGAGGAAGAAGAGAGAGAAGAAGAGAGAGAAGGAGAGAGAGAAAGAGAGAGAGAGAGAGAGAAGGAGAGAGAGAAAGAGAAGAAGAAGAGAGAGAAGAAGAAGAGAGAGAAGGAGAGAGAGGGACCAUUAUUUACUCUGUAACUCCAUAACUAUUCUAAUGAUGGAAGGUUGUACCUGGUGCAUAGUACCUCUGACUUUAUUCUGUCUGCUUCUCUUCAUCUCUGUGUGUCUCAAUCUCACCCUCUGCAUUCUGAGACACAGGGACACCAGACACAAAGCAGACAAUGAGGAGUUUCUCAACCAACAGCAUUAUCCAAGAGAGAGUAGAUUGGAGGAGGAAGAGGAGGAAGAGGAGAAUCAGCAGCAGGAGAAUCCCAUCUAUGGAAACAUCACUAUAGCCUGCGCCCCAGCCCCAACAACAACCUGACCUGAACUAUGCUUCUCUUGACCUGAACGUGGGACAGAUACCCAAGAAGAGGAAGCGUCGCUACCAGCAGGCCCAGGCCCAGGCCCAGGCCCUGCCCGAGUCCCAGAUGGGUGGGGGUUUCCUGGAAAUAGAUGCGGAAAUGGAGGCCUCCCUCCCCUCACGGAGUAGCAGCCCUCUGGCUUCUAGAAACAGCAUCUAUCUCAACAGUCUACAGAUGGCACUACAGACAGAGGAGAGGGAAUAAGAGAGAGUCAAGGGGAGGGAGAUGGAGGAGGAUAGAGAUUGGGAUGGAGACAGGAAGUGAGGAGAGGGGGAGAAAGAAACAGUAGGUUGUGAUGGAGGGAUGGAGACUGGAAGUGAGGAGAGGGGCAGAAAGAUACAGUAGAUUGUGAUGGAGGGAUGGAGACAGGAAGUGGGAGAGGGGCAGAAAGAUACAGUAGGUUGUGAUGGAGGGAUGGAGACAGGAAGUGGGAGAGGGGCAGAAAGAUACAGUAGGUUGUGAUGGAGGGAUGGAGACAGGAAGUGGGAGAGGGGCAGAAAGAUACAGUAGGUUGUGAUGGAGGGAUUGAGACAGGAAGUAACAUGUGACUGGGGUUAGAGGUUAGGGAGGAAGACCAACGGUCCUAAAUGUGAACUCAAGAACUCAAUUAGGCAGAGAGAGCGAGAAAGAGAGGGAGGGAGAGAGACAAAGAGAAUGAGAGAGAGAGAGAGAACUUGUGUUUAUUUUUUUAUUUUUUGUAUUUAACCUUUAUUUAACUAGGCAAGUACAGGUAGACAAACAUAUUAACCUACUUUAACCUCUAGCCAAUAUGUUACAAUCAGACAUUAUAGAGAAAGGGGCUCCCACUGCAUAAACUGCAGAUAUGUAUAUAUUAUUAUUAUUAUUAUUAUAUAUUUUUAUUAUUAGUAGUGUUCGUAUAUACAGUGUACAGUGCAUUCGAAGAGUAUUCAGACCCCUUGACUUUUUCCACAUUUGGUGACGUUACAGCCUUAUUCUAAAAUUAAUUUUUAAAAAACAAUUCCCCUCAUCAAUCUACAAACAAAAGCUCAUAAUCACAAAGCAUAAACAGUUUUUUAGGAUUUUUUUUUUAUACAAAUGUAUUAAAAAUAAAAAUCUGAAUAUCACAUUUACAUAAGUAUUCAGACCCUAUAAUCAGUACUUUGUUGAAGCACCUUUAGCAGCGAUUACAGCCUUGAGUCUUCUUGGUUAUGACGCUACAAGCUUGGCACACCUGUAUUUGGGGAGUUUCUCCCAUUCUUUUCUGCAGAUCCUCUCAAGCUCUGUCAGGUUGGAUGGGAGGGCGUCGCUGCACAGCUAUUUUCAGAGCUGUUAGAUCGGGUUCAAGCCCGGGCUCUGGCUGGGUCACUCAACUACAUUCAGAGACUUGUCCCGAAGCCACUCCUGCGUUGUCUUGGCUGUGUGCUUAGGGUCGUUGUUCUGUUGGAAGGUGAACCUUCGGCCCCCAGUCUGAGUUCCUGAGCGCUCUGGAGCAGGUUUUCAUCAAGGAUCUCUCUGUACUUUGCUCAGUUCAUCUUUCCCUCGUUCCUGACUAUUCUCCCAGUCCCUGCCGCUGAAAAACAUCCCCACAACAUGAUGCUGCCAUCACCACGCUUCACCGUAGGGAUUGUGCCAGGGAUGCUUCCAAAAAAUGUUUUUAAUCAAUUUUAGAAUAAGGCUGUAAUGUAACAAAAUGUAGAAAAUGGGAAGGGGUCUGAAUACUUUCUGAAGGCACUGUAUAUAUACAUUCUCAAAAGUUUUUCUUUAUUUUGACUAUUUUCUACGUUGUAGAAUAAUAGUGAAGACAUCAAAACUAUGAAAUAACACAUAUGGACUCAUGUAGUAACCAAAAAAGUGUUAAACAAAUCAAAAUAUAUUUUAUAUUUGAGAUUCUUCAAAUAGCUACUCUUUGCCUUGAUGACAGCUUUGCACACUAUUGGCAUUCUCUCAACCAGCUUCACCUGGAAUGCUUUUCCAAUGUUCUUGAAGGAAUUCCCACAUGCUGAGCACUUGUUGGCUGCUUUUCCUUCAAUCUGCGGUCCAACUCAUCCCAAACCAUCUCAAUUGGGUUGAGGUCGGGUGAUUGUGGAGGCCAGGUCAUCUGAUGCAGCACUCCAUCACUCUCCUUCUUGGUCAAAUAGCCCUUUCACAGCCUGGAUGUGUUUUGGGUCAUUGUCCUGUUGAAAAACAAAUGAUAGUCCCACUAAGUGCAAACCAGAUAGGAUGGUGUAUUGCUGCAGGCUAGUUGAGAACAAGUUCUUAUUUACAACUGCGACCUGGCCAAGACAAAGCAAAGCAGUUCGACAACAUACAACAACACAGAGUUACACAUGGAGUAAAACAAACCUACAGUCAAUAAUACAGUAGAACAAAAGAAAACAAAAAGUCUAUAUACAGUGAGUGCAAAUGAGGUAAGUUAAGGCAAUAAAUAGGCCAUGGUGGCGAAGUAAUUACAAUAUAGCAAGUAAAACACUGGAAUGGUAGAUGUGCAGAAGAUGAAUGUGCAAGUAGAGAUACUGGGGUGCAAAAGAGCAAGAUAAAUAAAUAAAUACAGUAUGGGGAUGAGGUAGGUAGAUGGGCUGUUUAUAGAUGGGCUAUGUACAGGUGCAGUGAUCGGUGAGCUGCUCUGACAGCUGGUGCUUAAAGCUAGGACACCAAUCAGGCCCUCGAGGGCUGGAGUUGCCCACCCCUGCUCUACGGCAAAGGUAACUCUGGAUCUUCCUUUCCUGUGGCGGUCCUCAUGAGAGCCAGUUUCAUCAUAGUUUUUGCGACUGCACUUCAAGAAACUUUCAAAGUUCUUGAAAUGUUCCGUUAUUGACUGACCUUCAUGUCUUAAAGUAAUGAUGGACUGUUGUUUCUCUUUGCUUAUUUGAGCUGUUCUUGCCAUAAUAGGGACUUGGUCUUUUACCAAAUAAGCAUAUAUUUAGUAUACCACCCCUACCUUGUCACAACACAAAUGAUUGAUCAAACGCAUUAAGAAGGAAAUCAAUUCCACAAACUAACUUUUUACAAGGCACAGCUGUUAAUUGAAAUAUAUUCCAGGUGACUACCUCAUGAAGCUGGUUGAGAGAAUGCCAAUAGUGUUCAAAAGCUGUCAUCAAGGCAAAGGGUGGCUACUUUGAAGAAUCUCAAAUACAAAUAUAUUUGUUUAACACUUUUUUAGUUACUACUUGAUUCCAUAUGUGUUAUUUCAUAGUUAUGAUGUCUUCACUAUUAUUCUACAAAAACCCUUGAAUGAGUAGGUGUGUCCAAACAUUUGACUGGUACUGUAUAUUAUUAUAGUUGUUAGUAUUAU
RNAcentral lists this long non-coding RNA (3987 nucleotides) under Salmo salar (Atlantic salmon). RNAcentral describes it as "lncRNA (ENSSSAG00000087700.1)". The record is from RNAcentral. Lineage: Eukaryota; Metazoa; Chordata; Actinopteri; Salmoniformes; Salmonidae.